This 251-nucleotide ribosomal RNA is filed under the name uncultured bacterium. RNAcentral's name for it is "partial 16S ribosomal RNA". It matches the Rfam family "Bacterial small subunit ribosomal RNA", at positions 103 to 354 of the family's 1533-position model. The record is from RNAcentral.
CGGGUGAGUAACGCGUGGAAAACCUGCCGUAUACUGGGGGAUAACACUUAGAAAUAGGUGCUAAUACCGCAUAAGCGCACAGCUUCGCAUGAAGUGGUGUGAAAAACUCUGGUGGUAUACGAUGGUUCCGCGUCUGAUUAGCUUAUUGGUGGGGUAAUGGCUCACCAAGGCGACGAUCAGUAGCCGGCCUGAGAGGGUGAACGGCCACAUUGGGACUGAGACACGGCCCAAACUCCUACGGAAGGCAGCAG